Molecule: long non-coding RNA, 561 nt
Filed under: Homo sapiens (human)
Lineage: Eukaryota; Metazoa; Chordata; Mammalia; Primates; Hominidae
Description: non-protein coding lnc-TMEM143-1:1
Source: RNAcentral
AAAGUCCCCUCCCCGGAGCGGAGCGCACCUAGGGUCCCUCUUCCGUCCCCCCAGCCCAGCUACCCGUUCAGACCAGCAGCCUCGGGGGGCACCCCCCCGCCAGCCUGCCUCCCUCCCGCUCAGCCCUGCCAGGGUUCCCCAGCCAUGAAUCUCUUCCGAUUCCUGGGAGACCUCUCCCACCUCCUCGCCAUCAUCUUGCUACUGCUCAAAAUCUGGAAGUCCCGCUCGUGCGCCGGAAUUUCAGGGAAGAGCCAGGUCCUGUUUGCUGUGGUGUUCACUGCCCGAUAUCUGGACCUCUUCACCAACUACAUCUCACUCUACAACACGUGUAUGAAGGUAGAGGCUCCACCCCACCUCUCUGGCCCCCACUGAGGCAGAGGAGCCGGGUGUGGGUCCCAGACUCCUAGGUCUGAGGGAGGAGGGGCUGGGGGCCUGGACUCCUGGGUCUGAGGGAGGAGGGGCCGGGGGCCUGGACUCUUGGGUCUGAGGGAAGAAGGGACUGAGGCCUGGACUCCUGGGUCUGAGGGAGGAGGGGUUGGGGGUCUGGACUCCUGGGUCUGA